This 254-nucleotide ribosomal RNA is filed under the name uncultured bacterium. RNAcentral describes it as "partial 16S ribosomal RNA". It matches the Rfam family "Bacterial small subunit ribosomal RNA", at positions 524 to 776 of the family's 1533-position model. The record is from RNAcentral.
UACGUAGGGGGCGAGCGUUGUCCGGAUUUAUUGGGCGUAAAGGGCGCGUAGGCGGCCACCGCAAGUCGACUGUGAAAUCUCCGGGCUUAACCCGGAACGGUCAGCCGAUACUGCGGGGCUAGAGUGCAGAAGGGGCAACUGGAAUUCUCGGUGUAGCGGUGAAAUGCGUAGAUAUCGAGAGGAACACCUGCGGCGAAGGCGGGUUGCUGGGCUGACACUGACGCUGAUGCGCGAAAGCUAGGGGAGCGAACGGG